AAUGUUUAUAUAUUGUGAUUGUGCUGUUGUAUUUUUGGUGGGGCCAAAGCGUGACAUUGGGAAGACGACAGAGAAUCAGCAUCAGAUACGUGGCAUCCAUGGAAAGCAAAGUGAUUGGGAGUCGCUUUCGGUGGCUCCACCCUGAGGGGCUGAUCUCAGCCGUUGGUUCAAUGUCUAAAGCUUGAAGGUGAAUGGCCCAUUCUCAAUCAAAUGCCAUUUGAUAUGGGUUGGGCGGCGGGG
Molecule: non-coding RNA, 240 nt
Organism: Theobroma cacao (cacao)
Lineage: Eukaryota; Viridiplantae; Streptophyta; Magnoliopsida; Malvales; Malvaceae
Source: RefSeq, a predicted model, not a curated record